GCCAAUGUGGUGUAAUGGUUUGAACAUUGGACUAGAAUUCUAGAGACCAGGGUUCAAGUCACCACUCGGCCA
Non-coding RNA from Phrynosoma platyrhinos (Desert horned lizard), 72 nucleotides. Lineage: Eukaryota; Metazoa; Chordata; Lepidosauria; Squamata; Phrynosomatidae. The record is from the annotation of a GenBank genome assembly.